ACCUCGAAAGUCGUAUCUGUUUAACGAUAGCUCCGUUCUCAACCGUUCUUGCGUUGUCACGAUCGUAGCAAUAAGCCGUGUCGUUUAGUGCGCUCUUUCUAAGCUUUUCUUUUGAUUGAUGCUUGUUCUUAGUCGUGAUUGUUUGUUUGUCUGUUGGUGUUGCUUGUUUGCUACGAGUAGAAGAAGCGUGGUUCAUCAACAGUGAAGAUCAGGAGCUGAGGACCGACAGUCGAAGCAAAAGUUGGAGAUCAGAAGAAAGAAGCCAAAGAAUUCUGAGCAGAUAUACACUAGGAAUUAAGGCAAGUGCAGACACCGUUUGAUCAUUUUGAACCUAUUCAUUAAUGCCAUUUACUUUAUACGCAUGUGUCCAAUGAAUGCAAACCCUAAGGACAUGACUAGCUUUACUUACUAUUCCUUGUUCACCUGGGGUUUUGUAUAUGGGUAGUUUAGGCUAUACUAGGUUUGCUUAGCUGCUCUACUCAUCUUAUACACAUGCCUAAACAAGUAUUACUCUCUACAUAACUUGAUGCUUAAACUGUGCUGAACCUUUGGUCAUUGCGGUGAUGGCGAUGUUGGAUGCUUACGAGCAUCGUGAUGAUGGUGGCGACAGGGGGAGCGGGUACUGUUGGUGGUCCGGUUUGCCGGGCGUACCCGUCUCUGCUCUCCGUAAGGACUUAGUCAGGGAGCGGCCCCCUGGGACAUACAGUGCAGCUCCAAGCUAUAUGGCUCUGGCUUGACUAAUUAGCAGGACCUCCACUAGUAGGGUGUUACUUUCCGGGUAGGCGUGAGGAAGUAACUUGGGUAAUGAAUAUUAAGUUGUCUGUUGAUCGGUACGCCAUGGCUAUGGGUAUCGACUGCCGAGCGCUCCGGUAAAAACUUGCGAGUGGCAUCCUAUUAGUUGGACCCUGUGAAAGGUCUCGUAGUGAGACCCUGCCUGCUCACCUUGGCACUGUUUUGGGGAGUCAUGACCCCGGGCAAAUGGGAAUCACGACUUGGAGUGAACGUGCACACCUCUGCAGAGUGUAAAACUGAUAUAUCAGCCGUGCUCACGGUCACGAGCGGCCCAGACCCUCACUUGAUGAGCAAAUUGGAUUCACUGGAUACUUGGAGAUGGAACUUGGCGAGGUUGCUACCUCGUGUUUUGGCGGAAUGGCUAUUCCGUGUUGGCAGAAUUGCUAUCCUGUGUUAAUAAUUGGGGUUAAUCCCUGGACUACUAUAAUUAUAAUUAUUAGGAUAGUCAUUUAAAAGAUGCUAAUCACUACUUACACUAAUAAAGGGUUGGGUUUAUGCUACUCAUAAUUAGUAGUAGGUUGUUCUAAUAAUAGUCAUAAUUAAAAGUGAUCAACUAAAAUGCUACCGCAGUCAAACCAAGUCAGCUUUACCUUGUUUUAAGCCUUGCAUGUCAUUACUUUCCGUCUGUGCUUGCUGAGUUCGACAUGAACUCACCCUUGCUAUUCCCCCCCACACCCCAGUGUGUAGUAAAGUGCUGCUCAGAAGAAGAACAAAGAUGCUAUGGAGUUUUCUAGAAGCUUAUCAGAAGUGCUUGGUGUACGGAGCCCCCAGUCAACCGUCCCUGAGAAGAAUGGAGCCUAAGAAGUUUAGCUACUGUUUCCGCGUACUCUGAUGUUUGUAAGUGUUAAUAUAAAUAUGUUUUCCGCUAUAUAUAACAUUGUUUCUGAUAUUUCUAUUCUUUUGUUAUAUGUGUGGACUUCCUGGGCACACAUAUGACGACUCUGGUCUUAUUUUAAAAGCCAGGGUGUGACACAUAUCAUAUCCGUUAACGACUAAGACUUUAGAUCAAGUACUCUUCCCAUAGGUUCAGGUUUAGAGUAGGUUUAAAUUAUAACAGUCAUGCCUAAACUUGAGAGAGAGCUCAAAUUUGAAAACUAGGUACAUGUCAGAGCAACUAUUUAUCAUAUCCAUGUAAGAGUUUAUCAUUUAAGUUCAGUUUGGCCUAGACACUUUAUUUAUUUAUUUAGCAAACUAAGCAAAGAUAUAUAUAUAAGCACACAAUUUUUAUUUGGGUUUUCAUGAUUAUGCAUCUUUUUCUUAUUUGAGUAAAGUAUAAACGUGAGUAGAAACACUUAGCUGGAUAAAUGGGGGUGCUCUCCCCCAAGCUAGAUUUUGACGUAAUUUCUUCUGAUGUAGCUAGCAGGUGACGGAGGUGUAUUUGAAUGUCGGCAGCACCCUGACAGCGAUUAGGAUGUCCUUCGUCUGCUAGUCUUCUUUGAUCCUUGAAUUCUGUGGAGCUCAAAUAGACAACAAAGCUUUGUGGACUAGUUAAGUGUUAGCAUAAAUAUCUAGCCUUUAUCAUGUGUAGCCUCCUCAAUAAAUGUUACUCUCUUUAGUAGGAUCAUAAUUUUUUUUUAUUUUUAUUUUUUUAUAGGACAGGAAUAUAUUUAUUUUAUUUUUAUGCCACCACAGUGAAUGUAUUUAUGGGUUUUAUGCCAUGAGCAUACUCACAUGAGGCUUACUAUUUUUAACAUUUUUUUUCGAGAUGAUAUGAACCUAAUUAUUUUAAAUAAUUGAAAGGAGAAGGAUAACUACCAAGUUUACCUCUUGGCGAGACGUUCGGUGUUUUUAAGUCCUCCGAACAGGACUCUCCGUUUUCUCAGUCGUCCUGGGAUUCGCUGGAUGGCAUAGUUGGUGGUUCCGGCGGCGCCUCCUCUUCGUGUAUAACUAUCUUCUCUCUCCAUACCUGACUCGGUGCUACGGUCUCCUCAGGACAGUUCUGUUCAAUCUGUAUGUCUUCCUUCGUAGUCUGCCCAUCCGUCCUUGAUGAUUUGCCUCCUCUGGUUGUAGUUGCGUCGUCUUCUUCUUGUCCUCACCUGCUUAGAGUCUUCAACUAUAUAGUUAGGGUCAGUAAAAUAGUGGCGUACCUUCUCAGUGGGGAAGUGCAUGUGGACUUCUCCGGCUCCAAUAUAGAUGAUAACUUUGAUAAUGUUGAGGAACGGUCUUUCAAGGAUGAUGGGUGGAUCGUACUCGUCUUCUCCCAUAUCAAUAACCUGGGUCGUCCUUUUUUGGUCAGGAACGAUGACUUAAGUCGACGAUCUUGACUUCCUUGAGCUGCAGUGACCAUCUUAACUGACUCGGUCCACAUUUGCUUGUUCCUGUUCCUCCUGUUGGUCCUCUUCCUUGGUUCAUGUCGGGAUUACUCUAAAAUUUGUGUAGUCUUGUUCUUGAAGGAAAGUCUCAUUCUUCCCCUUGAUGUAGAAACUGAUCUUGGCAGUACUAGCGUAGAUGACAGCUCUCGAGGUGUUCAGGAAUGGCCUACCUAGGAUGAUGGGUGCCCUCUCAUCAGUACCAGUCUCUAUCACCAUAAAGUCUGCUGGAGCGUACAAGGUACCAACUCGGACGCAGAGGUUCUUCAAUAUUUCCUUUGGGAAACUGAGUGUGCGAUCUACAAGCUGAGUAGUUAGGCCUCUGUUGAUUCCAACCUUGAUUUUGUUGAGAACGGUUGUAGUAGUAGUUUUUGUUGUUGAUGUAAUUUACGUCCUCAAGCAUCUCAGGGCAGUGAUUGCCUGAGUGUCCAGUAUCUCCAGUGUGUUUGUGCUCGUAGAUCUAGGUCCUUCACUUGGAAGAAUCUGGGAGUUGUAAAACUGCUUCAGGUUUUACUCGAAGUGUACCUGCUCAUAAAGACAAGGCAGAGAUCAAGUGCAUGGGCCCUGUUGGUGAAAAACACCAACUGAACCAAAAGUGUAUUUGUUCUUCUCUAACCUUAAGCAUAGAGAGCAAGACAAAGUUGAUGGAUAAUAAGAUCAUGAGUGUAGCAUUUAAAACAUUUGUCAGAUCAGAUCGCUCGACCUAAUGGAAAGAUAAUCUAUCUAUAUUUAUGUUUUGUUUAUAUCUUCCAAAGAUUGAAUGUGCACAUUUUAGCUUAUAUGAUUAGGAGUACGGGUUCACGAAGGCAGUACUAAGAACAAAGAUUAAAGGACUAAACAUGUUGAAUUAAUUGGGUUGGUUAAUUUGGAGUUACAAAUCAAACAUGUUUAUCUCUUUUAUUCAUGUGAACGCAAGAACCAAGGAGAAGCUUAUAAAAGCGAUAGUCAAGUACCUUAAGAUGUUACCUUACUUGAUGGUAUAGUAUCACCUUGUGGAAGCUUUCCUUUCUUAGCGGUUGUGCAUCGUGUUUGUGGCACCCUCCAUGCAUCAUCUCUUAUGAGCUAUGCCUUCCUUGUGUAAAUUGUUAACCUUCAUGUGUCUCUCUCUUUGUCUCCAAUGUGAGUUUAUCUUAGGACUUCCCAGGUCGAUAUUGAAAGUUUUUCUGCAGGGGUUAGUCCAACAAAAUAUCCCAUAUCUACUAUUGCAUACUAUCGGCUCAAAAAUCAACCUGGACACCAUGUCUAAUUUGAUUUAGGAGGGCAUUUUAACCUAAGCACCAUGCUUAAUUUAAAAACCCUUGGAAUUAAGAUCAUCAUUCCUAAACUAAGCACCAUGCUUAAUUAAGAGAUAAAUGAAACUACUCCAAACCUAGACAUAUACUAAAGCAAACAAAGGUAGC
This 4501-nucleotide long non-coding RNA is filed under the name Sorghum bicolor (sorghum). RNAcentral's name for it is "long non-coding RNA (SBIC_LNC006438)". Lineage: Eukaryota; Viridiplantae; Streptophyta; Magnoliopsida; Poales; Poaceae. The record is from RNAcentral.